GCUAGCUACAGGCUUAACACAUGCAAGUCGAGGGGUAGCAUGGUCUUAGCUUGCUAAGGCCGAUGGCGACCGGCGCACGGGUGAGUAACACGUAUCCAACCUGCCGUCUACUCUUGGACAGCCUUCUGAAAGGAAGAUUAAUACAAGAUGGCAUCAUGAGUCCGCAUGUUCACAUGAUUAAAGGUAUUCCGGUAGACGAUGGGGAUGCGUUCCAUUAGAUAGUAGGCGGGGUAACGGCCCACCUAGUCUUCGAUGGAUAGGGGUUCUGAGAGGAAGGUCCCCCACAUUGGAACUGAGACACGGUCCAAACUCCUACGGGAGGCAGCAGUGAGGAAUAUUGGUCAAUGGGCGAGAGCCUGAACCAGCCAAGUAGCGUGAAGGAUGACUGCCCUAUGGGUUGUAAACUUCUUUUAUAAAGGAAUAAAGUCGGGUAUGGAUACCCGUUUGCAUGUACUUUAUGAAUAAGGAUCGGCUAACUCCGUGCCAGCAGCCGCGGUAAUACGGAGGAUCCGAGCGUUAUCCGGAUUUAUUGGGUUUAAAGGGAGCGUAGAUGGAUGUUUAAGUCAGUUGUGAAAGUUUGCGGCUCAACCGUAAAAUUGCAGUUGAUACUGGAUAUCUUGAGUGCAGUUGAGGCAGGCGGAAUUCGUGGUGUAGCGGUGAAAUGCUUAGAUAUCACGAAGAACUCCGAUUGCGAAGGCAGCCUGCUAAGCUGCAACUGACAUUGAGGCUCGAAAGUGUGGGUAUCAAACAGAAUUAGAUACCCUGGUAGUCCACACGGUAAACGAUGAAUACUCGCUGUUUGCGAUAUACGGCAAGCGGCCAAGCGAAAGCGUUAAAUAUUCCACCUGGGGAGUACGCCGGCAACGGUGAAACUCAAAGGAAUUGACGGGGGCCCGCACAAGCGGAGGAACAUGUGGUUUAAUUCGAUGAUACGCGAGGAACCUUACCCGGGCUUAAAUUGCAGAUGAAUUACGGUGAAAGCCGUAAGCCGCAAGGCAUCUGUGAAGGUGCUGCAUGGUUGUCGUCAGCUCGUGCCGUGAGGUGUCGGCUUAAGUGUCAUAACGAGCGCAACCCUUGUUGUCAGUUACUAACAGGUUCCGCUGAGGACUCUGACAAGACUGCCAUCGUAAGAUGUGAGGAAGGUGGGGAUGACGUCAAAUCAGCACGGCCCUUACGUCCGGGGCUACACACGUGUUACAAUGGGGGGUACAGAGGGCCGCUACCACGCGAGUGGAUGCCAAUCCCCAAAACCUCUCUCAGUUCGGACUGGAGUCUGCAACCCGACUCCACGAAGCUGGAUUCGCUAGUAAUCGCGCAUCAGCCACGGCGCGGUGAAUACGUUCCCGGGCCUUGUACACACCGCCCG
Molecule: ribosomal RNA, 1366 nt
Filed under: uncultured bacterium
Lineage: Bacteria
Description: 16S ribosomal RNA
Rfam family: Bacterial small subunit ribosomal RNA
Source: RNAcentral